GUUCGAUCAUCAGACCUCAACCAAUCCAUCACAAUCGCCAACCCCGCGCCCGCCCUUCCCCUCACGCCGCCGCAUCCCUCGCCCUCGCCUCCGCUCAGCGCUCACCCUCACCUCCGCUCGCCAAUCGCGUCCUCGCCCACGCCCAGCGCACGCCGCUCGCCGCUCGCCGCCAUCGACAAGUGCGGAUCACCGGCUCUCCGCUUCGCCAUCGACGCAUCGUGCCCUCGCGCCGGCGGGCGGAAUGGCAGGCGCGGUGGCUACCCGCGGCGGCCUCUCCUCCAACCCUCCUCCGUGCCGGGAACCUGAGUUGUGGGGGCCGAGCCCCCUCAUCCUUCGGAGCUCCGAUCUAGGAUACCGCCGCCCUCCCACAACUCUCCGUCUCCUGCGCAGAUCCUCUCCUCCCUCAUUCGCGAGGCGCAGGCGGAUCGACGUGCAGCCGCGCACCAACCGCGCGCUCGGCACCCUCCCUCAUCUGCCGCCGAGAACGCGAGGUUGGCCGUCCGCCGCCGCCGCCGCCCUCCGCAGUGAGGUACUGCUAUCCGCCCGCGCGAGGAGGCGGGUCGCCCGGUGCCGGCGACAGCUUGCAGGAGAUGGGCACGCCACCAGCUCGAGCAAGGAGCACUUGCCGCCAUCAACCCAUCCGUCGCCGCUCUCCGUGUUCCCGUCCACCCGCGUGAGGAGUUUCUCAGGGCGGAUCGGGCUGGCCUCUCCUUCGACCAAAUCGUAGCAGCCCUAUAGAUUCACUGAUGGAGCAGCUCGUCGUCCCCUCCUCCCUCGCGGCCUCCUCGUCGCCCCACCUGCCGUGCCACCGCCGCCACGCAGCUCCCUCACCUUGCCGCCGGCUUCAGGCAGUUGGCGGCUUCGGGUGCGCAAGGCCGGAGUCCACAGGCGUCGCCGUCAACUUCCGCACGCCGCAGUUCAAGCUCCUAGAGCCACUGACCGAGAAGCUCUGGACGUUGAAUGAUUUCGAGGGCAACCCUGCACUUCAAGUCAGUCACUCUUUCUGUAUAGCUUGCGCUAAAUGUAUCUACUUGCAGCUUGUUACUGAAGAAACACCUCUGUGCAUCAUCUAUAGUACUGGCUGUUAAUCGUGCAGGCUUGGGGAUGUCUAGCUAGAUGUAAAGCUACUGACUUCUAGAGUUGAAGUGAUGAAAUGCAGGAACUUAGUGGGUAUGCACUAUGCAGGCAAUGUUUUUGGUUUGCCUGUCAGUUGACCCAUGACAAUUUCUAUGCUCUGUAAUUUGUAUCUGCUAUGGAUCAAUUAUUCGUUAGGAGUUGCAUAUUUGACUAUAGACCCUACAGAACUGUGAUAAAUAUAGAGUCCUAAUUUGGUAUUGUAACAGUAGUAUUUUCAUCACAGUAAAACACCCGUGAUAUUGCAAGAAUGGUUUCAUGACAGAGGUAACUUUUCUUAAAGAUACUUUCUGAUUCAACCUGUGUUCAUCAAUGAGCUAUGCAAAGCAGAUACUUGCUGGAGAAUUUAGGUUUAGUCAAUUGCUAUAGUCAGGUUCAGAUCUUGUUCAUAUUGUGACUUUAGCAGGACAAAAGAUAUUUGGAGCUAUAAUCAUUAUAAUACAAUACUCACAUUUUGUUUUGUAAAUAUUUUAGUAUAAAGUAACUGUAUUUACCAAAGAGAGUACAAGAUAAUCUAUAUCUUUUGGUUUAUUUGGCUACAGGUUGAGGCUGCAUGGACACUAACAAAAAUUUCAUCAGACACAUCAGAGAGCGCCAAGGUGGUUGCGAUCUGGUGGAGAGUGGUGUUGUGCCCAUCCUUGUCAAUCUCCUAAACUUCCAGUGAGGAUGCUGAUGCUUAGAAAUGGGACAUGGACUCUAUCCAACUUCUGCAGUGGGAAGCCACAGCCAAACUUUGAUAAGGUUUCUAUCCGGGAUCAUGUUUAUUUUUGUUGUGUUGGCCAAAACUGAUUCUUUGAAUGAUCUUGCUUAUUUGCUUCUGGUCGAGUCGGUCUGUCCGCAAUGAGGUGCCUCAUCCACUCUCAGGAUGAGGUCCUAACAGAUGCCUGAUGGGCUGUUUUAUGCCUAUCCGAUGGACGUAAUGACAAGAUUCGACCUGUGAUUGACUCUGGCGUGUUCCCUUGCCUUAUGGAAUGAUUGUUGAGGGUUAGAAUGGCUUGUAGAGUAUCAUUUACUCACUCCUUUGCUCAACCAUCAAUCCGGAGGUUUUUAAAGUUUUUGAAAAGAAAUUUGUAAGUUCCUCGGAUGAUCUCUUGGAUCGCUCAAAAGUGUUUAAUUCCUCACCAAGGCCUUUUUAUGAGCCUUUCUUUUCCAUCCUACUCCUAAAGGUUUCUUUUUGGUGGAGCUGUAGGUAUGAAGGAUAUGAAGGCAAACCUGCUUCUCAUAUUUUGCUGAGUCAAAGACCGGAUCCAAAGAAGAAACAAGUCAUAAAUCUUAGUCAAGAUGUGCGGGUGUGUGGAUAUUUUUGGUGGAUGGUGGAGGAACUCCUUUGUAUGAUUUCUCGCUCCCUUGUACACUUUUUUUUUUUGGUACGGGCUAUAUUUUCUCCUCUUUCUUUUUUUUUUGAUAUGCCUUGUGGGCAUGUGGCAUACCUUCUUUGGGUAUGCAUCUUUUCUUUUCAUCAUUUUUUUGACA
Molecule: RNA transcript, 2607 nt
Organism: Panicum virgatum (switchgrass)
Lineage: Eukaryota; Viridiplantae; Streptophyta; Magnoliopsida; Poales; Poaceae
Exons: 3
Source: RefSeq, a predicted model, not a curated record